Potamilus streckersoni is the source of this 74-nucleotide non-coding RNA. NCBI's taxonomy places the organism in Eukaryota, Metazoa, Mollusca, Bivalvia, Unionida, Unionidae. The record is from the annotation of a GenBank genome assembly.
AGCUACGGUGGCUUAGUGGUUAGAGCGUUCGCCUCGAAUGCGGGAGGUUGCGGGUUUAAAUCCCGGCCGAGUCA